RNAcentral lists this ribosomal RNA (1438 nucleotides) under uncultured organism. RNAcentral describes it as "16S ribosomal RNA". It matches the Rfam family "Bacterial small subunit ribosomal RNA". The record is from RNAcentral.
GAUGAACGCUAUCGGCAGGCCUAAUACAUGCAAGUCGAGGGGUAGAGAGAGCUUGCUUUCUUGAGACCGGCGCACGGGUGCGUAACGCGUAUGCAACCUACCUUUAUCUGGGGGAUAGCCCGGAGAAAUCCGGAUUAAUACCGCAUAAAAUCACAGAAUAGCAUUAUUUAAUGAUCAAACAUUUAUGGGAUGAAGAUGGGCAUGCGUGUCAUUAGCUAGUUGGCGGGGUAACGGCCCACCAAGGCGACGAUGACUAGGGGAUCUGAGAGGAUGGCCCCCCACACUGGUACUGAGACACGGACCAGACUCCUACGGGAGGCAGCAGUAAGGAAUAUUGGUCAAUGGAGGCAACUCUGAACCAGCCAUGCCGCGUGCAGGAAGACUGCCCUAUGGGUUGUAAACUGCUUUUAUCCGGGAAUAAACCUUUCUACGUGUAGGAAGCUGAAUGUACCGGAAGAAUAAGGAUCGGCUAACUCCGUGCCAGCAGCCGCGGUAAUACGGAGGAUCCAAGCGUUAUCCGGAUUUAUUGGGUUUAAAGGGUGCGUAGGCGGCCUGUUAAGUCAGGGGUGAAAGACGGUAGCUCAACUAUCGCAGUGCCCUUGAUACUGAUGGGCUUGAAUGGACUAGAGGUAGGCGGAAUGAGACAAGUAGCGGUGAAAUGCAUAGAUAUGUCUCAGAACACCGAUUGCGAAGGCAGCUUACUAUGGUCUUAUUGACGCUGAGGCACGAAAGCGUGGGGAUCAAACAGGAUUAGAUACCCUGGUAGUCCACGCCCUAAACGAUGAACACUCGCUGUUGGCGAUACACAGUCAGCGGCUAAGCGAAAGCGUUAAGUGUUCCACCUGGGGAGUACGCCCGCAAGGGUGAAACUCAAAGGAAUUGACGGGGGCCCGCACAAGCGGAGGAGCAUGUGGUUUAAUUCGAUGAUACGCGAGGAACCUUACCCGGGCUUGAAAGUUAGUGAAUGAUCUAGAGAUAGAUCAGUGAGCAAUCACACGAAACUAGGUGCUGCAUGGCUGUCGUCAGCUCGUGCCGUGAGGUGUUGGGUUAAGUCCCGCAACGAGCGCAACCCCUAUGUUUAGUUGCCAGCAUGUAAUGAUGGGGACUCUAAACAGACUGCCUGUGCAAACAGAGAGGAAGGAGGGGACGACGUCAAGUCAUCAUGGCCCUUACGUCCGGGGCUACACACGUGCUACAAUGGAUGGUACAGAGGGCAGCUAGCCGGCAACAGUAUGCGAAUCUCACAAAGCCAUUCACAGUUCGGAUUGGGGUCUGCAACUCGACCCCAUGAAGUUGGAUUCGCUAGUAAUCGCGUAUCAGCAAUGACGCGGUGAAUACGUUCCCGGGCCUUGUACACACCGCCCGUCAAGCCAUGGAAGUUGGGGGUAUCUAAAGUAUGUAACCGCAAGGAGCGUCCUAGGGUAAAACCGGUAACUGG